CACCCAAUAUUUCCCAGCAUCUCAUUUCACAAGAAUUACUAAGGACAUAUCAAGCAAUUGCCAAAGGUUGCACGGAGACAUCUUACAGGAGCUCAAGCCACAACUCCAUUAUGGAGGUCCACUCUGAGAGGGACAAAGUUUACAUUCCAUUUCUAUAGUCCAUGAAAUUUGAGAUGCCUGAGAUAUAUGAUUUAGAGCAGUAAGCAAUGCUCCCUGAUCUCCAUACGACUUGCUGCAGUUUGUAGAUGAUCAGUGUGGCCCAUCUCAACACAUUGCUUGCACGGAUCUGCUUCUUUGAUGUUAUCCCUUUGUGGCUGAUAUGGACAAUAUUCACCCUCAUCCGGAGUUUGACAUGUGGCCACCAUAACGCCAAAAAAAAUGACUGAGUUCACUGAUAGAUAUAUCACAUUAUGUCAAGAAAAUCAAGGAAUAUUUCCUUAACCAUGAGUGGUUAAGGAUCGACUAUAAAAUGUGGACGCUGAUAUAGUCUGAGGUUGAACAAUUCUCUUUUAUCCCUCCCUUUUUCAUUUUGAAAUACUAACUUGAGCUUCGAAGGACCAUGUCAAUAGC
This is a non-coding RNA of Musa acuminata subsp. malaccensis (wild Malaysian banana), 570 nucleotides long. The record is from RefSeq and is a predicted model, not a curated record. Lineage: Eukaryota; Viridiplantae; Streptophyta; Magnoliopsida; Zingiberales; Musaceae.